AACCCAUUAAGGCUUACAAAUGUGCCCAAAUGCAUCCCUGCUGUUGCUUUACUUUGCCUAGUGCCAGACAAUUUCACUCUUCAAGGGGCCGGAGAGUCUUGAACUUCAGUUUAUAAUGUGUAACAUGUUUGUGACACAAUGCCUGAAAUGUUUGCUUUAUGUAUUUUCAGGUUAAUAAUGGUGCUGGGCUAUAGCCUGGCUCCAAAUAUUGUUCUCAACAAUCAAGGAAUUCUGGAUUGAGUUGAAUUGACAAACUGGUGUUGUAAGGUAAGAAUUAACAAGAAUAAAUAGUCUGCUUUUAGUGCUCUACAUGAAGAAAAUGACAAACUGGCCCAGCUAAGUUAGUCACCCAGGACCUGUUCAAUAUGAGCCAUGCUGGCCUGUUGAACUGAGUUAGCUUACUUGGCCGGGCCAAGUUUUUAUUUGUUUCACAUGAGGCGGGCUAGCCUGGAAACUGCUAUAAGAAAUUCCCAAACAAUUUUAUAUAUGGUGGGAAAGCGAUAUUUGUUUUAAGGCGUAAAAAAAAAUCUGUGGUUUCGGUUCCCGACCGACCCUAUUUUUUGUGCCGACCUUAUUAUUUUUUCAAUGCAAUUGACUGUGUGACCCUAUUUUCUCCAGGUGAUUGUACAAGACCAUUUCGGCACUUGCAAGUCUGUCCAGCCAGACGAGUUAGCCUUGAUCUUGUAAACAGUCCAUGUAAGGACCUUGUUUGUAGGAAUUAUUACAUUUCUUGAUACUGCAUCAAAAAUUUAGUAAAUAUUAGCAACACAAUUACAUGUGAAUCCUAAAUCUACCCCCAAUGUAGCCCAUUGUAAGGUCAUGCUUCGACUACUCCUAUUCACACAGGCUGAGCAUGGAUAAAUUUGAUACAGGUACCAAUUUUAUCUGUGCCAUACUAGGCGCAAAAAAAUACCUGUGAUUCCGGUUCCCGAUCGACCCAAUUUUUUUAAAAGUGAUUGACUAUGCGACCCUAUUUUCUCCGGAUGGUUGCGGGCUGCUGCCAAAUGACACUGUUGUCACACUAAUUAUUGAAAAAUCCAUGAAAAAAUAUUUUUAAAAAAUUAUUUCCGACCUACCAACCCAAAUUUUUUUGCGAUCUGAAACUGGAACCACAGGUAUUCUUUUACGCCCUACUAGAUUAAUCUUGCUAUUUCAAUACCAAACAAUUGUACAUGUCCAGGGUCCUGAUGUAUUAACCCAAUUAGUGGCAGCACUCUUCCCCUGAGUCCCUGACGAGUUAAAUCGUCUGGCAUAGACAAAGUAAAAUAAUAAAGUAGGGCGCAUUAGGGGUUAGUUCCGGCCGGAACCCCGAUUUUUUAGAGUUCCGGUUCCGGCCGGAACUAGUAAAAAAAGCAUGGCCGGACCCGGAACUCUGUCGUUUUCAGAGAGAUAGAAUAUCAAACGUUUUUGUGUCUAACAAAAGGUCACAGUAGGAAGAAAUUUGGACUACGCAAGGGAAAUGUACACUACUAACACUUCAUUAUGACGUUUAACGCUUGUGAAUCUUUUUAUUCUAACAUUUGCGAGCUCUCUCCUUUAUGACUUGAAGUGUCUGCCUGUCUGGCAGCGGACAAUAAAUUAGUUCCGGUGUCACAGGAGAUUCGCCCCCCAGGAGAUUCGCCCCCCUCUCAAAAGGGGGGCGAUAUUCCUAGGAUAUUCGCCCCCCCCCCGGGGCGAAUCUCCUAGGAAUAUCGCCCCCCAGGGGGGCGAAUCUCCUAGGAAUAUCGCCCCCCUUUAGGAAUUUCGCCCCCCCUAUAAAUUUUGAAUUUUUGAUCUAAAAACAAAACGAUUGCAAGUUGAAAAGAUUUAUUGCGUUAUUUAUAUAUUACAAGGAGACAAACUUACAUAUACAUUUUAGGCUUCUUAGCACUGGUGUCAUGUUCUACACAUUUAAAGUGGAACCAUUGCCCACAGAGAUCGCAUAAAAUCAUGUUGUCGUAUUCUUUUGACAGUUUACAUUCACAUAACGUAUUAUGAAAAACAAUCGCUUGCAAAUUUUAUCAAUACCAGUGUUAACAAUAGCCGCCACAGUAAUCACUUGCUAACAAUAAACUAUAGGAUUAAUAAAAAAUCUAUGGAAUGUGUUGGGAAGUGUAUUGAUCAUUGUCCGUAGAAUCAUCAACUUUCCAUGUCAGUGACAGUGUUAGUGAUGUAAUCUUGAUUCUUGACUUCCGCGAAGAAAAUAAUUGCAUUAUAUAUGUGGUGUGACUUAUUCAAAUAAUUUCAUGAUACUUUGAUUUUAUUAGUGCCUCAAACAUUUAAGAAUGUAACUCUGCAAAACUAAAACUUUGAAACGUAUAUUAUUGGAGUAUUGCCUAUUGACAAGUUCUACCCUUCGCUUCUGAGAUUUACAAACUAUAUUGAAAUAAUGCAAGUAAAAAAUAGUGACAACUUAUAAGCCACACAUUUUCCAAUAACGACAAAACGUGGAUGCAAAUCAAUACCAAUAAUUACAAUAACCACCACGGUGAUUACUUUUUAACAAUGAGUUUAAGGAUUAACAGUGAAAAUGCAAAAUACGCAUGGUGUGCUGUGAAGCGUCAUAAGUUCUAUUGAUCUACUGUAACUGUGUAAGCCCUUUCGAUACAUGUAAUUGUAAGGGCUUGAAAUAACGUUCCCAAAGUUCCCGAUCAUGGUGAUCGGCAGUCAUAACUUUCCCUGCUUUUUUCAGGUUGGAAACCGAAACCCUGCUUUUCCGCCGAUUAUAAGCAAUUCCUUGCCGAUCAUUGAUCGGUGAUCGGUUGUUAUUUCAAGCUCUGCCUUAACAAUUUUGAAUUGAUACUGAUUUCAAAUGAUUAAAGCCAUGUAAUAAUUAUCCGAUGCAACUAUUAGGAAGGGCGAAACUUUGAACGGAGGGACGAAAAUCCUAAAGAAAAGGUGAAGUUUCUGAAGGGGGGCGAAUUUCCUAAAGGGGGGCGAAAUUCCUAGGAUUUUCGCCCCCCUGGGGGGGCGAUAUUCCUAGGAAUUUCGCCCCCCGGGGGGCGAAAAUGUAGGGGGGGGGCGAAAAUCCUGGGACACCGGUUCCGGCCGGAACUUUUUCCAGUUCCCGUCGGAUCCGGUUCCGGCCGGAACUUAAAAACUGGUUCCGGUGCACCCCUAGGGCGCAUCUUGGUGCAUUGGCACUUAAAGGGUUAAUGUAAUGUUACUGCGCUAGUGAUGCUAACCGUAUAAUGAAUUAAAGUUAUUUAAGAGAAGACAGUCAGUUGAGUAUCAUAUUUAGUCCACAAGAUAUAUUCCCCUUUAAACUGGAACUGUCGCAUGACAGAUCAUAAAUUAAUUGACAUAAUCUACUUGGCUAACUAAUAAUUAUUAGACAGUAGUGCACAAUGCAACUAAAUGGUUAAUUUGACACAUGGGCAGAUAGUCUGAUUAAGCCAUUGAGCACGACUGCUUUCCCCUUGACAAGUAAAGUUAUCUGGUGUUAGACAGAAUAAAAAUUAUAAUAAAGUAUGAUGCAACAAAAUUUUAGUGUCUGGUGAAACUAAGAUGGCUGAUUAAUAGUGAUUAUUGGUUAUUACUUUUUAAAAUAACAUGCGUCCAAGGUCUUUGCCAGAAGAAGUUGCGCCAGAUGGUGGUUUGCCUAAUACCAGAUGGUAGCGGGUGGUGCCCAGAUACCUAAUGGCACCAGAUAGUAGUCUACAGACAGGGUUUUUUUCAGGAUUUUCUCUUGGGUCCAUUUUUGCAGAGAAGAUUGAGUUUAGCUGAACAGCUGGGGUGGCUGCACCCCCCCCCCCCUACCGCGGGAGGCUGACACCUAUGCUCAAUAAAUGUAGAACUGAGAUGGAAACUGGUAUAAACUGGUUAAAGAUGGCGAAUGCAUAGUUUUUCUUGUGUUGCAAGAUGAAUUCCAGCCAUUCUUUCUUAAUUGUCAGGUUUCCAACUGAAAACUAAUUUCCACACGUCACAAAAUUUUAUAACUCAAACAUCUUCAUUUUUACUGUACUGAAACUUUGGUGAGAAGAUUGAGUUUCAAAACUUAAUUCAAGAUUUAAUUUUUGGGCCUGUUUAACGGCCCUAAAAAAUCCCUGAAAAAAACCCUGGUCUACUGGGUACAGGUCUGGAGAAAGCCUGUCUCUGGUUAGCAUAUGUAUAUUUGUCAUACCCUGCAUCACCUUGUACAUACAAAUAUGAACUGGCUUUGUUAUUGGUUAAAUAAAGGCUGUUUAUUACAUCCACAGUUACUAGUCCCUUUUACACUGUAGGUUAAUGAUAAGUCUCAAGGUCAUUGUUCUGGCAUAUUUUGUAUAAAGUAAUGAUUACAUUCUCAAUAAGUAAAAUUUUCUUUUUACAGAUUCUAAGAUGAUGGAUCUUUGAUGGCAAUUGCAUGCUGUGUUUGGAACAGUAUUAAUUAAAUGUGCAUGAGGAAAUCAAUGGAUUUGGUGAAUGAACAAUGGUAUAAAUAAUAUUGAUUGUGAAAUGGACAAAAUGUUAAACAAAAUAUAUUGACUUCAGGAGAAACCAGGGUUUUUUCAGGGAUUUUUUGGGCCCUUUAAGCGGCCCCAAAAACUCAAUCUUGAAUUGAGUUUUGAAACUCAAUCUUCUCACCAAAGUUUCAGUGCAGUAAAAAUGAAGUUGUUUGAGUUAUAAAAUGUUGUGACGUGUGGAAAUUAGUUUUCAGUUGGAAGCCUGACAAGCCAUCUUUAACCAGUUUAUAGUGUCCCUGUUUUAACACAUUCCGUCUCAAUUACAUUUAUUGAGUGCAGGUGUCAGCCCACCGGUAGGCGGGGGGCCGGUGCAGUCACCCCAACUGUUCAGCUAAACUCAAUCUUCUCUGCAAAAACGGACCCAAGAGAAAAUCCUGGAAAAAACCCUGGGAGAAACUCAAUUCACUACAACACAUUGCUGUGCUAUCAGAACUACUAUAAUUUCAGUAAAUAUACAAGUUAUUUUCUUAGAAUGAGAG
This is a non-coding RNA of Paramuricea clavata, 4903 nucleotides long. The record is from the annotation of a GenBank genome assembly. NCBI's taxonomy places the organism in Eukaryota, Metazoa, Cnidaria, Anthozoa, Malacalcyonacea, Plexauridae.